This 729-nucleotide long non-coding RNA is filed under the name Musa acuminata (dwarf banana). RNAcentral's name for it is "long non-coding RNA (MACU_LNC009365)". Lineage: Eukaryota; Viridiplantae; Streptophyta; Magnoliopsida; Zingiberales; Musaceae. The record is from RNAcentral.
GCCUCUGGGAUUGUACCGUCUUCUCCAUCAACCCUGCCGCCUACUCCACUGAGUAGCAAAGGUACAGCACCGCGUACUGCCUGCUUCGUUCCUUGGUUGUGCACUCUUGCAUGACCCGAAGUCCUUCACUUACGGCUAUCUUGAUGAGAAACUUAUUGACACCGGUCUUACGAAGUUUCUUGGCCUCUGCCCUUCAGCCUUGUCUCGGUACUUAGAGAUUACCUCUGCAUGCUCCACCUCCUCAGCCCCUUUCACGACCAAGCGCUCUCCCUCCAUGAGAGCAAGGGAUCAAUGACUUGCACAGAAGUCCCGCCUCUACGGUACCAUGGCGCUGCCAAGCCCAUGGCCCUACUAUCCGUCGCCUCGCAUCUACAUCCAUUUUCUUCACAAUCAGUAGAAAUGUCGUCGCUUCCUCGCCCCUUUCGACCCCCUGCUUCAACACCUAUGUGUUCUCCAAGCAGUCUGUUUAGUCGAUGGAAAGAUAGACUGCAACUCCCAUGCAUGGCCUCUGCCAUCGCAUUAUAGGGAUUGCACCGAUUCUGUUCUCCUUAGCUUCCUUGGUAGCAAUGUUCGCUUACUCGGCCUUGUCCUCUGACUUGCCGGGCUCCCUUAAGCGAAUAUAGGCUCUGGAGCAGUCCAACUCUCCAACUGCUUCGAUCAUACCUCUGCAUGAUCAAGUCCCUCCCAUGGGACUCACUAGUGCUUGCAUUCGAACUUUUCCCUUGGUGG